This 465-nucleotide ribosomal RNA is filed under the name uncultured Weissella sp. RNAcentral's name for it is "bacterial SSU rRNA". It matches the Rfam family "Bacterial small subunit ribosomal RNA", at positions 338 to 795 of the family's 1533-position model. The record is from RNAcentral. Lineage: Bacteria; Bacillati; Bacillota; Bacilli; Lactobacillales; Lactobacillaceae.
CCUACGGGAGGCUGCAGUAGGGAAUCUUCCACAAUGGACGAAAGUCUGAUGGAGCAACGCCGCGUGUGUGAUGAAGGGUUUCGGCUUGUAAAACACUGUUGUAAGGGAAGAAUGACAUUGAGAGUAACUGUGUAGUGUGUGACGGUAUCUUACCAGAAAGGAACGGCUAAAUACGUGCCAGCAGCCGCGGUAAUACGUAUGGUCCAAGCAUUAACCGGAUUUAUUGGGCGUAAAGCGAGCGCAGGCGGUUGGAUAAGUCAGAAGUGAAAGCCCAGAGCUGAACUGUGGAAGUGCAUUGGAAACUGGAUAACUUGAGUGCAGUAGAGGAGAGUAGAACUCCAGGUGUAGCGGUGAAAUGCGUAGAUAUCUGGAAGAACACCAGUGGCGAAGGCGGCUCUCUGGACUGUAACUGUCGUUGAGGCUCGAAAGUGUGGGUAGCAAACAGGAUUAGAUACCCUUGUAGUC